GUGACUCCCCACCUCCGCCCGGGCCCAAGCGCUCCUCCGGCCCCGCCCGGCCCCACACCGCCGGUCGACGUGAUCCUCUGCGGCCUGGCCUGCUUGCGCUGCCGCUGGAUCCUGAUCCUGCUCCUACUCAGCGCCAUCGCCUUUGACAUCAUAGCCCUGGCCGGCCGCGGCAGGCGGCAGUCGAGCGACCACGUCCAGACGUCCUUGCUGUGGUGGAGAUGUUUCCACGAGGGCGGCGGCGGCAGCGGGUCCUAAGAGGACGGCUGCUAGAGCCUCAUGGAGUACGCGUUGGGUAGAGCAGCAGCUGCCAUGCUCUUCUGGGGCUUCAGCUUCCUGGUGAUCUGUUUCAUCCUCUCCUUCAUCCUGUGUGUACCCCAGAUGCUUGUCUUCCUAAGAGUGAUUGGAGGUCUCUUUGCCUUGGCUGCUGUGUUCCAGACCAUCUCCCUGGUAAUUUACCCCGUGAAGUACACCCAAACCUUCAACCUUCAGGCCAACCCCUGCUGUCACUUACAUCUAUAACUAGCCCUAUGGCUUUGGGUGGGCAGCCACGAUUGUCCUCAUCGGCUGUGCUUUCUUCUGCUACUGCCUCCCCAACUAUGAAGAUGACCUCCUGGGCAAUACCAAGCCUAGGGACUUCUACACAUCCGCCUAACUUGGGAAUGAGUGUGGGAGAAAAUCGCCACUGCCAAGAUGGAUUCCAGAAGAAGAAACUGUUUCUCUAGGCUACUUUGAACCUAUUUUUUGGCAGUGUUCAUAGUCAAAAAUGCUAAAAUAAUUUAGGAGAAAAUAUUUUAAAAGUAGUGUUAUAGUUUUAUGUUCACCUUUUAUUAUGUUUGGUGAAGUUGUGUCUUCACUAAUUACCUAUACUAUGCCAAUAUUUCCUUAUAUCUACCCGUAACAUUUAUGCUACAUUUGUAAGAUAAUAUGAACAUGAAACUUAACACUUUAUAAGGUAAAAAUGAGAUGGUUUCCAAGAUUUAAUAAUCUGAUCAAGUUCUUGUUAUUUCCAAAUAGAAUGAACUGGGUCUGUUAAGGGCUAAGGAGAAGAGGAAGGUAAUGGUAAAAAUUGUCAAUGACUGGCCGGGUGUGGUGACUCAAGCUUGUAAUCUCAGCACUUUGGGAGGCUGAGACAGGCCGAUCACCUGAGGUCACGAGUUGAAGACCAGCCUGGCAAACAUGGUGAAACCCUGUCUCUACUGAAAAUACAAAAAUUAGCCGGGCUUGGUGGCACAUGCCUGUAAUCCCAGCUACUGG
RNA transcript from Rhinopithecus roxellana (golden snub-nosed monkey), 1254 nucleotides. It is a transcript of the gene named p53 apoptosis effector related to PMP-22 pseudogene, with no coding region annotated. The transcript has a single exon. The record is from RefSeq and is a predicted model, not a curated record. NCBI's taxonomy places the organism in Eukaryota, Metazoa, Chordata, Mammalia, Primates, Cercopithecidae.